AAGCAUAUCAAUAAGCGGAGGAAAAGAAACCAACAGGGAUUGCCCUAGUAACGGCGAGUGAAGCGGCAACAGCUCAAAUUUGAAAUCUGGCUUCGGCCCGAGUUGUAAUUUGCAGAGGAUGCUUCUGGCGCGGUGCCUUCCGAGUUCCCUGGAACGGGACGCCACAGAGGGUGAGAGCCCCGUAUGGUCGGACACCAAGCCUGUGUGAAGCUCCUUCGACGAGUCGAGUAGUUUGGGAAUGCUGCUCUAAAUGGGAGGUAAAUCUCUUCUAAAGCUAAAUACCGGCCAGAGACCGACAGCGCACAAGUAGAGUGAUCGAAAGAUGAAAAGCACCUUGAAAAGGGGGUUAAAUAGUACGUGAAAUUGUUGAAAGGGAAGCACUUAUGACCAGACUUGGGCCGGGCGGCUCAUCAGGGGUUCUCCCCUGUGCAUUCCGCCCGGCACAGGCCAGCAUCGGUUUUCGCGGGGGGAUAAGACCGGCGGGAACGUAGCACCCUCCGGGGUGUGUUAUAGCCCACCGGACGAUACCCUCGCGGGGACCGAGGUCCGCGCUCCGCAAGGAUGCUGGCGUAAUGGUCAUCAGUGACCC
Molecule: ribosomal RNA, 589 nt
Filed under: Diaporthe pseudolongicolla
Lineage: Eukaryota; Fungi; Ascomycota; Sordariomycetes; Diaporthales; Diaporthaceae
Description: eukaryotic LSU rRNA
Rfam family: Eukaryotic large subunit ribosomal RNA
Source: RNAcentral